RNAcentral lists this ribosomal RNA (771 nucleotides) under uncultured Vagococcus sp. Its description in RNAcentral is "bacterial SSU rRNA". It matches the Rfam family "Bacterial small subunit ribosomal RNA", at positions 28 to 776 of the family's 1533-position model. The record is from RNAcentral. Lineage: Bacteria; Bacillati; Bacillota; Bacilli; Lactobacillales; Enterococcaceae.
GACGAACGCUGGCGGCGUGCCUAAUACAUGCAAGUCGAACGCACGAAGUUGAAGAGCUUGCUCUUUAACCAAGUGAGUGGCGGACGGGUGAGUAACACGUGGGUAACCUGCCCAUUAGAGGGGGAUAACAUUCGGAAACGGAUGCUAAUACCGCAUAGUUUCAGGAAUCGCAUGAUUCUUGAAGGAAAGGUGGCUUCGGCUACCACUAAUGGAUGGACCCGCGGCGUAUUAGCUAGUUGGUGAGGCAAUGGCUCACCAAGGCAAUGAUACGUAGCCGACCUGAGAGGGUGAUCGGCCACACUGGGACUGAGACACGGCCCAGACUCCUACGGGAGGCAGCAGUAGGGAAUCUUCCGCAAUGGACGAAAGUCUGACGGAGCAACGCCGCGUGAGUGAAGAAGGUUUUCGGAUCGUAAAACUCUGUUGUUAAAGAAGAACAAGGAUGAGAGUAACUGCUCAUCCCCUGACGGUAUUUAACCAGAAAGCCACGGCUAACUACGUGCCAGCAGCCGCGGUAAUACGUAGGUGGCAAGCGUUGUCCGGAUUUAUUGGGCGUAAAGCGAGCGCAGGCGGUUCUUUAAGUCUGAUGUGAAAGCCCCCGGCUCAACCGGGGAGGGUCAUUGGAAACUGGAGAACUUGAGUGCAGAAGAGGAGAGUGGAAUUCCACGUGUAGCGGUGAAAUGCGUAGAUAUGUGGAGGAACACCAGUGGCGAAGGCGACUCUCUGGUCUGUAACUGACGCUGAGGCUCGAAAGCGUGGGGAGCAAACAGG